AGUGAACGCUGGCGGUAGGCCUAACACAUGCAAGUCGAACGGCAGCACAGUAAGAGCUUGCUCUUACGGGUGGCGAGUGGCGGACGGGUGAGGAAUACAUCGGAAUCUACUUUUUCGUGGGGGAUAACGUAGGGAAACUUACGCUAAUACCGCAUACGACCUACGGGUGAAAGCAGGGGAUCUUCGGACCUUGCGCGAUUGGAUGAGCCGAUGUCGGAUUAGCUAGUUGGCGGGGUAAAGGCCCACCGAGGCGACGAUCCGUAGCUGGUCUGAGAGGAUGAUCAGCCACACUGGAACUGAGACACGGUCCAGACUCCUACGGGAGGCAGCAGUGGGGAAUAUUGGACAAUGGGCGCAAGCCUGAUCCAGCCAUACCGCGUGGGUGAAGAAGGCCUUCGGGUUGUAAAGCCCUUUUGUCGGGAAAGAAAAGCAGCAGGUUAAUACCCCGCUGUUCUGACGGUACCCAAAGAAUAAGCACCGGCUAACUUCGUG
RNAcentral lists this ribosomal RNA (492 nucleotides) under uncultured bacterium. RNAcentral describes it as "partial 16S ribosomal RNA". It matches the Rfam family "Bacterial small subunit ribosomal RNA", at positions 29 to 507 of the family's 1533-position model. The record is from RNAcentral.